AAGAGACAGCAGUAGCCGCGGUAAUACAGAGGAUGCAAGCGUUAUCCGGAAUGAUUGGGCGUAAAGCGUCUGUAGGUGGCUUUUCAAGUCCGCCGUCAAAUCCCAGGGCUCAACCCUGGGCAGGCGGUGGAAACUACCAAGCUGGAGUACGGUAGGGGCAGAGGGAAUUUCCAGUGGAGCGGUGAAAUGCGUUGAGAUCGAAAAGAACACCAACAGCGAAAGCACUCUGCUGGGACGACACUGACGCUGAGGCUCGAAAGCCAGGGGAGCGAACGGGAUUAGAUACCCGCGUAGUCCCUGUCUCUUAUAC
RNAcentral lists this ribosomal RNA (310 nucleotides) under uncultured bacterium. RNAcentral describes it as "partial 16S ribosomal RNA". It matches the Rfam family "Bacterial small subunit ribosomal RNA", at positions 503 to 807 of the family's 1533-position model. The record is from RNAcentral.